UGUGGAAACUGCACACCUCCACAAGUGU
This 28-nucleotide non-coding RNA is filed under the name Mus musculus (house mouse). The record is from RNAcentral. Lineage: Eukaryota; Metazoa; Chordata; Mammalia; Rodentia; Muridae.